UACAGAGGGUGCAAGCGUUAAUCGGAAUAACUGGGCGUAAAGGGCGCGUAGAUGGUUUUUUAAGCGGACGUUGAAAGGCAUGGGCUUAACCUGUGUAAGGCGUCUGAACUGAAAGACUAGAGUUCAGUAGAGGGGUGUGGAAUUCUCGAAGUAGCGGUGGAAUGCGUAGAUAUCGGGAGGAACACAAGUGGCGAAGGCGACACUCUGGGCUGCAACUGACGUUGAGGCGCGAAAGCGUGGGUAGCAAACAGG
This 252-nucleotide unclassified non-coding RNA is filed under the name uncultured Gammaproteobacteria bacterium. RNAcentral's name for it is "contains 16S-23S intergenic spacer region". It matches the Rfam family "Bacterial small subunit ribosomal RNA", at positions 524 to 776 of the family's 1533-position model. Lineage: Bacteria; Pseudomonadati; Pseudomonadota; Gammaproteobacteria. The record is from RNAcentral.